Perognathus longimembris pacificus (Pacific pocket mouse) is the source of this 617-nucleotide long non-coding RNA. RefSeq lists it as uncharacterized. The transcript has 4 exons. The record is from RefSeq and is a predicted model, not a curated record. Lineage: Eukaryota; Metazoa; Chordata; Mammalia; Rodentia; Heteromyidae.
UUUGGGAUGCAUGCAGUUCUGUAGGUGCGUCUGCAUCAGCAGUGGGCUGGGACUGCCCGUAGGAUGAGAGCAUGUGCUGCAAAAUCUGUUCCUAAUGCUGUGCUCUCUGACUUCGCUCUCAGUGGGCCAGCAGAUGAGGCGAGCUUUCCCAACGAGGUUAACAUGGGCAGCAAGUUGAUGUGUGGCUGGUGCCUGCAGGUUGCUAGGUGUAUAUGGUUGUGGUAGAAAUCUUGGUGCCAGCCAUGGUUACCUGCAGGUGGGUAAAGGGUUCGGACGGAGGUAUGUAGAUUCAAGGGCUCGCCUAUCUUUCUGCUUCUCUGGUCUCUCCACUUGGUUCAUUCUCAGGCAUGUGUGGUGUGAGGUGAGUGUUUACCACUGACCCCCAUUCUGGGCCAGACGCCGGGCAGAGUUUCUAGUGUGCUGACUCAUUUGGUCUGGAUCACCAACCUGGACCUGUUUCCUAACCAGCCCUGCCUGAGGUCACACAGCUAGAGGGAGGCAGAGCUGAGAUCAGAGCUGGGCUGGCUGCUGCCUGGGCCUCUCUUGUACCCUCAGGUCCCUAUGCACAUGCACCAGAUUCAUUCUGACUCAUUCUGGCCCGAGCCACCUGCCUGUCU